This 200-nucleotide unclassified non-coding RNA is filed under the name soil metagenome. RNAcentral's name for it is "partial contains internal transcribed spacer 2 and large subunit ribosomal RNA". The record is from RNAcentral.
UUCGAGCGUCAUUACAACCCUCAAGCUCUGCUUGGUAUUGGGUGCCGUCCCCCGGGGCGCACCUUAAAGACAGUGGCGGUGCGUCCGGCUCCAAGCGUAGUAAUUCUUCUCGCUCGGGAACCCGGUCGCGUGCUUGCCAGCAACCCCCCAAUUUUUUAAAGGUUGAUCUCGGAUCAGGUAGGGAUACCCGCUGAACUUAA